This 425-nucleotide long non-coding RNA is filed under the name Felis catus (domestic cat). Its description in RNAcentral is "lncRNA (ENSFCAG00000040676.2)". Lineage: Eukaryota; Metazoa; Chordata; Mammalia; Carnivora; Felidae. The record is from RNAcentral.
AUGUACACAAGCCUAAAGGCCCACAAAACGUGGAUCUGCUGUGGCCUGAGGAGCGGCACUGACUCACCCUCUGGAGACCACACCAGAACUCCUGUCCCUCCUGCCCUCCCGUGGGUGAGCCCUUGCACGCCCCACCAGCACAGCACGCUGUCACUACCGCAUCACUGCUCUCAAGUCGAAGCGCCCCUCCUGGGCUCAGCGGGCAGCAGCCACAGGAAUUUCUAGGAAGACAAGCACGUCAUCUGCAAAUAGCCAUGUGGUCAAUUCCUUGCCAAUAUUUAUCCUUCUGUACCAGUCAGAAGUUCUGUUUGCAAACAACGGAAACCAGCUCUACUUAAACUAACAUGGGAAGGUUAUUGGGAGAGACAAACUCGGAGAAGCCAAAAUAACCAAUAAAGUCCUAAUACAGUUCUGCCUGCUUUUCA